Molecule: transfer RNA, 73 nt
Filed under: Stegodyphus mimosarum
Lineage: Eukaryota; Metazoa; Arthropoda; Arachnida; Araneae; Eresidae
Rfam family: tRNA
About the family: Transfer RNA (tRNA) molecules are approximately 80 nucleotides in length. Their secondary structure includes four short double-helical elements and three loops (D, anti-codon, and T loops).
Source: Rfam by way of RNAcentral
GCCGUCGUGGUGUAAUGGUCAGCACAUUCGGCGCGUACUUGAGAGGUCCGAGGUUCGAGUCCCAGCGAUGCCA